Arachis ipaensis is the source of this 512-nucleotide non-coding RNA. NCBI's taxonomy places the organism in Eukaryota, Viridiplantae, Streptophyta, Magnoliopsida, Fabales, Fabaceae. The record is from RefSeq and is a predicted model, not a curated record.
AAGCCCUCCCAACAAAAAAGCAAAAUAGGGCUGGCCCUAUAAGCCCUAGAAGCCCCAAAUCUAAUCUUCUCCUCCCUGAGACCCUGACCUGAGAUUUUAGGCUGAGAACUACUUGCGUUGAAAUGGUGAAACUGUGAAAGGAUUUGCAUUGAAACGGUGAAACUGUGAAAGGAUCUGCGUUCUACCUGCGAAAUCCGUGGCUACUUCUCCUCCCUCACGUGGAAUCAGAGUGCAAUUUCCUGGUGUGGAAAACUGAAUGCUAUAGCUUGUCCCUACGAAACAUGUGCUAGAAUUCCCAGCUCAACUGCAAAUCCACUAUUUUGGAUCCCUAUACAUAUUGUGAUCCCAGAGAGGCCUAUUGAAUGUGCAGUAUUCGAUGUCCUAGUAGAUUCUCCUCGUGAUUCUGUACAGUUUAUUGAGUGGUCCCCUACUCCUUGUCCCCAUGCAUUAUUGAUAGCUAAUUUUCAUGGGAGGGUAACUAUUUGGACUCAACCAUCUCAAGUUUAACAUCA